RNAcentral lists this unclassified non-coding RNA (171 nucleotides) under uncultured Orbiliales. Its description in RNAcentral is "sequence contains ITS2". The record is from RNAcentral. Lineage: Eukaryota; Fungi; Ascomycota; Orbiliomycetes; Orbiliales.
ACAAAUUUUCAGUUGCCUUUGGUCAACUGGUCAUGAGCUUGGGCUCCCUUUGCGGGACCCGGCUUUAAAUUUGCACGCUCUGCGGGCCUGGCUCCCCUCAAAACAUAGUAAUAUUCUUGCUGACUGCUUUGUGAGGUUGCCCAGGCUUCCGCCUGAACAAGCUUUUUUCUA